Molecule: ribosomal RNA, 440 nt
Filed under: uncultured bacterium
Lineage: Bacteria
Description: partial 16S ribosomal RNA
Rfam family: Bacterial small subunit ribosomal RNA
Source: RNAcentral
CCUACGGGAGGCAGCAGUGGGGGAUAUUGCACAAUGGGGGAAACCCUGAUGCAGCGACGCCGCGUGGGUGAAGAAGCGCCUCGGCGCGUAAAGCCCUGUCAGCAGGGAAGAAAAUGACGGUACCUGAAGAAGAAGCCCCGGCUAACUACGUGCCAGCAGCCGCGGUAAUACGUAGGGGGCAAGCGUUAUACGGCUUUACUGGGUGUAAAGGGGGCGCAGACGGCGAUGCAAGCCAGGAGUGAAAGCCCGGGGCCCAACCCCGGGACUGCUCUUGGAACUGCGUGGCUAGAGUGCAGGAGGGGCAGGCGGAAGUCCUGGUGUAGCGGUGAAAUGCGUAGAUAUCAGGAGGAACACCGGUGGCGAAGGCGGCCUGCUGGACUGCAACUGACGUUGAGGCCCGAAAGCGUGGGGAGCAAACAGGAUUAGAUACCCCAGUAGUC